Molecule: ribosomal RNA, 302 nt
Filed under: uncultured bacterium
Lineage: Bacteria
Description: partial 16S ribosomal RNA
Rfam family: Bacterial small subunit ribosomal RNA
Source: RNAcentral
GCAGCAGCCGCGGGAAUACGAAGGGUGCAAGCGUUAAUCGGAAUUACUGGGCGUAAAGCGUGCGUAGGCGGUUUGUUAAGUCUGCUGUGAAAUCCCCGGGCUCAACCUGGGAAUGGCAGUGGAUACUGGCAAGCUAGAGUGUGUCAGAGGAUGGUGGAAUUCCCGGUGUAGCGGUGAAAUGCGUAGAGAUCUGGAGGAAUACCGAUGGCGAAGGCAGCCAUCUGGCCUAAUACUGACGCUGAGGUACGAAAGCAUGGGGAGCAAACAGGAUUAGAUACCCCUGUAGUCCCUGUCUCUUAUAC